Molecule: RNA transcript, 3276 nt
Organism: Sapajus apella (tufted capuchin)
Lineage: Eukaryota; Metazoa; Chordata; Mammalia; Primates; Cebidae
Gene: PLEKHH3
Gene name: pleckstrin homology, MyTH4 and FERM domain containing H3
Exons: 12
Source: RefSeq, a predicted model, not a curated record
GGGGCCGGGGGGGCGGGGUCCCAGCUCUGUGCUCGCGCCCCCAGCACGCCAGUCCCGGGGCUGCAGGGAGCGCAGCGCGCGCGGCCCGGGCCCCGGCCACCGGACGCCCUACCGGACACGACCCUCCCUGGAGCUUGGACAACUGCCCACCUCGGACGCUGCACCGGACACUGCCCCCCACAGGGCUGGACGCUCCAACGGACACUACUUCCCAGCUCCGGACAUUGCUCCCUCCUCUCCCCGGGCCCUGGACGCUUUUCCCCCUCCCCCCUCCGGGGGCCCAGACACCGAACCCCCCUCAGCGUCUGGCUAGCGUCCCCUUGCACCCCAGCCCAGGACACUGCCUCCUCCCUGUCCCUUUCUCCCUCCUGCUCCUCCCACCUCAUCUUUCCCUUGCUCGGGUCGGAGCCCCGCCAGUUCCUCCGACCCCCUGCUGCUCGGCCGCGGCUGCCCGCGCCCCCAUCCCCCGGCUCCUCGUCCGGAUGCCUCUUCCCGGGGGACUGUGGUGGCUUCUCUGCUGCCGUCGAGGCUUCACUCUUCUACACCGGGACUACGGGGACGGCGAGCUUAGCGGGGACGGGGACGAGGACGAGGACGAGGAAACCUUUGAGCUACGGACCCCGAGUCCGGCGGGCGGCGGGAGGGGUCCCCUGGAAGUGACACUGACUCAGCCAGUGAGGAGCGGGCCAGUCUCCCACAGGCUGCAGAGCUGGGAGGAAACUUGGAGCCUCAUCCCGGAGAAAGGGCUGCCGGAGGACGACCCAGACAUCGUUGUGAAAGGUUGGCUGUACCGGGAGCCCCGCGGAGGAGGGGCGCGGCCCUGGCUACCCCCACGCCGAGCCUGGUUCGUGCUCACGCGGGACUCCCUGGAUCAGUUCAGCAGCAGCGGGAAGGGGGCGCGGCGCCUCGGGAGUCUUGUACUCACCAGCCUGUGCUCGGUGACAGGUCCAGAGCGCAGGCGUAAGGAGACAGGUUUGUGGUCAGUGACUGUGUCUGGCCGGAAGCACAGUGUCCGCCUCUGCUCCCCACGCCAGGCAGAGGCCGAGCGCUGGGGGGUGGCAUUGCGGGAAGUGAUUGCCUCCAAGGCACCCCUGGAGACCCCCACCCAGCUACUGCUCAGGGACAUACAGGAAAGUUGUGGGGACCCAGAGGCCGUUGCCCUUAUUUACCUGCGGAACCCAAUUCUGAGACACACCAGUGGAGCCUUGUAUGCCCCGCUCCUGCCCCUGCCCUAUGGAGUCAGCGCCCCAGGUCCGGGCUAUGCACCCCUGCGCGAGGAGGCGGUGCGGCUGUUCCUGGCGCUGCAGGCGCUGGAGGGGGCGCGGCGCCCCGGGCCCUUAAUGCAGGGUGUGCUCCAAACUUGCCGGGACUUGCCCGCGCUCCGGGAUGAACUCUUCCUGCAGCUGGCUAAGCAGACCUCGGGCCCUGCAGGCCCCCCCGGGCUCCCGGCUACCCGAGACCCUGCGACCCUGCGGUACUGGCAACUCCUCACCUGCAUGAGCUGCACCUUCCGGCCUGGGGUAGCUGUACGGGGACACCUCCUGGGGCACUUGGAGAGGACCGAGCAGGCACUCCCGGACUCGGAACUGGCGGAAUAUGCGCGCUUCAUCCGGAAAGCGCUGGGCCGGACUCGUGGCCGCGAGCUGGUGCCUUCGUUGGCGGAGAUUUCCGCGCUGAGCCGACGGCAGGAGCUGCUGUGCACCGUGCACUGUCCGGGGGCUGGUGCCUGUGCUGUGGCCAUCGACUCCCACACCACAGCGGGCGAGGUGAGGCCAGAGAAAGGCCCCAUGACCUCCAACCCACCUUGCCAGCUUCUCACGCCUGCCUCUCCCGCUUCCUGGGCCCUAGGUUUGCCCCGAGUGUCAGAUUAUUUUGGUAAGGGAUGGAGUGGUGGUGACAGGACUAAGAGACCCUUUCCAAUUGAAUCAGCCCCUCCCAUAAUCCUGGCAAUAUCCCUGAGUGGUCUUACUUCCCCCUCACCCUCCUCUUCUAGGUGGCUCGAGAGCUGGUGGGGCGGCUGGGCUUGGCCCGGAGUCGCAAUGCAUUCGCGCUGUACGAGCAGCGAGGGGCCCAGGAGCGAGCGCUGGCUGGGGGGACCCUCGUGGCCGACGUGCUCACCAGGUUUGAGAACUUGGCAGCGGAGGAAGCUGGGCUGGAGGACUCCUCCGAUUCCGGGUGGAGACUGUGUCUGCGUCUUCAUGGACCUCUGCACCCUGAGGGGCUGUCCCCAGACGGUCACGAACUGCCUUUUCUCUUUGAGCAGGCUCACGCUCUGCUGCUGCGGGGCCGGCCGCCCCCGCCAGACGACACGCUGCGCGCCCUGGCGGCGCUACGCCUGCAGAGCCUGCACCGGGACUUCUCCCCGCGGGUACCCCUGCCCCGCCUGGAUCGCCUGCUACCGCCCACGGCCCCACGUGAAGACCCGCCCCGCCCGGCCCCCAGGUCACCCCCCUCCGCUGCCGCCCUGCUGGCCGGGGCGCUCUGGAGCCCGGGCCUGGCCAAGAGGCGGGCAGAGCGGGCCCGCCGCGGCGGGGCCGGCCGCAUGGCGGGAACCACGGCCCGCGAAGGAGGCGGCAGCGCCAGCACGGCAGCUGCGGUGCUGGGCAGCUGGAAGCGGCUACGGGGCAUGGGCCGAGCAGAGGCCAUGGCCGCCUACCUGACCCUGGCGGCGCAGUGUCCGGGGUUCGGCGCUGCUCGGAGCCUGGUGGGGGUGCUCCACAAAAGCUAUGCCUGGGCUUGGGAGCCAAGGCCAUGUCCCUCUCCCGGCCAGGGGAGACAGAGCCCAUCCACAGUGUCAGCUAUGGCCAUGUGGCCGCCUGCCAGCUAAUGGGCCCCCACACCCUGGCACUGAGGGUGGGGGAGAGUCAGCUCCUCCUGCAGAGCCCCCAGGUAGAAGAGAUCAUGCAGCUGGUGAAUGCCUACUUGGCCAACCCCUCCCCCGAGAGGCCCUGCAGCAGCUCUUCUCCUCCAUGCCAAGACCUGCCAGACACCUCCCCUCCCAGCCAGCACCCGGGCCUGGACGAGCCCCAGGGACAGUCUGGCUGCUUGGGGCAGCUGCAGGACUGAGCCUGCCAAGAGGUCACGACAUCUCGCCUGCCUCCAGCCUGGGCCAGGACUGCUCUGAGAUUUGAGGGAAACGUGGACCCUUUUGGCCCUGCAGGGACAGGGCACAUCCCACAUCCAAGGGCUACAAUGGGUGUGGGCAAUUUUCUAGUUUGUUUCUUAAUUUAUUUGUAGAAGAGAAGCAAAAAAAAAAAAGUUUCUUAUUUACACAAA